UAAUUGUGGUGUCAGCUUCCU
RNAcentral lists this non-coding RNA (21 nucleotides) under Rattus norvegicus (Norway rat). The record is from RNAcentral. Lineage: Eukaryota; Metazoa; Chordata; Mammalia; Rodentia; Muridae.